Molecule: ribosomal RNA, 252 nt
Filed under: uncultured Eubacteriales bacterium
Lineage: Bacteria; Bacillati; Bacillota; Clostridia; Eubacteriales
Description: partial 16S ribosomal RNA
Rfam family: Bacterial small subunit ribosomal RNA
Source: RNAcentral
UACGUAGGGGGCAAGCGUUGUCCGGAAUCAUUGGGCGUAAAGAGUACGUAGGCGGUCUGAUAAGCACAAGGUUUAAGGCAACAGCUCAACUGUUGUUCGCCUUGUGAACUGUUAGACUUGAGUGCGGGAGAGGAAAGCGGAAUUCCUGGUGUAGCGGUGAAAUGCGUAGAUAUCAGGAGGAAUACCGGUGGCGAAGGCGGCUUUCUGGACCGUAACUGACGCUGAGGUACGAAAGCGUGGGGAGCAAACAGG